UGUUAAUACUUUAUCCUCACCAGCGGAUUUGCUUCUUUGCAUUUCCUCUAGGAUUUUGCUUACUUUUCCUGUCGUUCCUGGCCCUCGCUCCAGGUGCUUCGAAGUACUAUGGAAAACAAGGUGUUACCUACAAGUGCUUAUUAGGCGAAUGCGACCAACGACAAGCUUGUAAUCCUGUGGAUCUCUUGGUCGACUGUUGGGCACCUAAAGCUAAUCAAAUAAACGGGGAAACUUGAAAGAUUGUGUUUUAAAUAAAUUUGAUCUCGUUAUAUU
Rhipicephalus microplus (southern cattle tick) is the source of this 273-nucleotide long non-coding RNA. The record is from RefSeq and is a predicted model, not a curated record. Lineage: Eukaryota; Metazoa; Arthropoda; Arachnida; Ixodida; Ixodidae.